GACGAACGCUGGCGGCGUGCUUAACACAUGCAAGUCGAACGGAAAGGCCCUGCUUUUGUGGGGUGUUCGAGUGGCGAACGGGUGAGUAACAUGUGAGUAACCUGACUUAGACUUUGGGAUCACUUCUGUAAACUGGGGCUAAUACCGGUUAGGCGCUCCUGCAGCAUGGUGGGGGUCGGAUGGUUUAGGCGGUUGGGGUUGGACUCGCGGCUUAUCAGGAUGUUGGUGGGGUUGUGGCUUACCAAGGCUUUGACGGGUAGCCGGCCUGAGAGGUGGACCGGCCACAUGGGGACGGAGACACGGCCCAGACGCCUACGGGAAGCAUCAGUGGUGAAUAGAGGACAGUGGGCGGAAGCCUGAGGCAGCAACGCCGCGUGCGGGAUUGCAGCCUUCGUGUGGUAGAGCGCUAGCGCCUUGGAUGAAACGGUAGUGACGGUAAUGGUAGAAGAAGCACCGGCUAACUACGUG
This 468-nucleotide ribosomal RNA is filed under the name uncultured bacterium. Its description in RNAcentral is "partial 16S ribosomal RNA". It matches the Rfam family "Bacterial small subunit ribosomal RNA", at positions 28 to 507 of the family's 1533-position model. The record is from RNAcentral.